RNAcentral lists this unclassified non-coding RNA (253 nucleotides) under uncultured Euzebyales bacterium. Its description in RNAcentral is "contains 16S-23S intergenic spacer region". It matches the Rfam family "Bacterial small subunit ribosomal RNA", at positions 524 to 776 of the family's 1533-position model. Lineage: Bacteria; Bacillati; Actinomycetota; Nitriliruptoria; Euzebyales. The record is from RNAcentral.
UACGUAGGGGGCAAGCGUUGUCCGGAAUUACUGGGCGUAAAGAGCUCGUAGGCGGUCCAUCAAGUCGGAAGUGAAAUCUCAAGGCUCAACCUUGAAACCGCUCCCGAUACUGGUGGACUUGAGGCAGGUAGGGGAAGGUGGAAUUCCUGGUGUAGCGGUGGAAUGCGCAGAUAUCAGGAGGAACACCAGUGGCGGAGGCGGCCUUCUGGGCCUGUACUGACGCUGAGGAGCGAAAGCGUGGGGAGCAAACAGG